This 219-nucleotide long non-coding RNA is filed under the name Elaeis guineensis (African oil palm). Its description in RNAcentral is "long non-coding RNA (EGUI_LNC011183)". The record is from RNAcentral. Lineage: Eukaryota; Viridiplantae; Streptophyta; Magnoliopsida; Arecales; Arecaceae.
GUGUCUUAUUCAAUCAUUUCACACAUCAUUAAUUAAUGAAUGAACGAUAGUGGUGACUAAGUCAAACUUUCAAAUAUCUGAGAGGAAAUAAACUACUAAAUUCUCUGAUCAAACUUAAAACGCAAAACAAAAAGGAAAGAUGAUAAGUUUACAUUCUUCGUAAUUUCAAUGCAUGAAGUCAUGAGCAAUCAUUUUCAUCUAUUUUAGCCAUCACCUUUU